AGUGAAUAGAUACCCCGGUAGUCCUAGCCGUAAACGAUACUCGCUAGGUGUCGGCCACGGUGCGACCGUUGUCGGUGCCGUAGGGAAAGCCGUGAAGCGAGCCACCUGGGAAGUACGGCCGCAAGGCUGAAACUUAAAGGAAUUGGCGGGGGAGCACCACAACGGGUGGAGCUUGCGGUUUAAUUGGAUUCAACGCCGGAAAUCUUACCGGGACCGACAGCGAUAUGAAGGCCAGGCUGAAGACUUUGCCGGAUUAGCUGAGAGGUGGUGCAUGGCCGUCGUCAGUUCGUACUGUGAAAGCAUCCUGUUAAGUCAGGCAACGAGCGAGACCCACGCCCACAGUUGCCAGCGUACUCUCCGGAGUGACGGGUACACUGUGGGGACCGCCGCUGCUAAAGCGGAGGAAGGAAUGGGCAACGGUAGGUCAGUAUGCCCCGAAUAUCCCGGGCUACACGCGAGCUACAAUGGUUGGAACAAUGGGUAUCUACCCCGAAAGGGGUAUGGAAAUCUCCUAAAUCCAAUCUUAGUUCGGAUUGAGGGCUGCAACUCGCCCUC
RNAcentral lists this ribosomal RNA (555 nucleotides) under uncultured bacterium. Its description in RNAcentral is "bacterial SSU rRNA". It matches the Rfam family "Archaeal small subunit ribosomal RNA", at positions 724 to 1275 of the family's 1478-position model. The record is from RNAcentral.